UACGUAGGUGGCAAGCGUUGUCCGGAUUUAUUGGGUUUAAAGGGUGCGUAGGUGGUCUAUUAAGUCAGUGCUGAAAUAUCCCGGCUUAACCGGGAGGGUGGCAUUGAUACUGAUGGACUUGAGUAAAGUUGAGGUGGGCGGAAUUGACGGUGUAGCGGUGAAAUGCUUAGAUAUCGUCAAGAACACCUAUUGCGAAGGCAACUCACUAAGCUUUAACUGACACUGAGGCACGAAAGUGUGGGGAUCAAACAGG
RNAcentral lists this ribosomal RNA (253 nucleotides) under uncultured bacterium. RNAcentral's name for it is "partial 16S ribosomal RNA". It matches the Rfam family "Bacterial small subunit ribosomal RNA", at positions 524 to 776 of the family's 1533-position model. The record is from RNAcentral.